RNAcentral lists this ribosomal RNA (1458 nucleotides) under uncultured organism. RNAcentral describes it as "bacterial SSU rRNA". It matches the Rfam family "Bacterial small subunit ribosomal RNA". The record is from RNAcentral.
GCUCAGAACGAACGCUAGCGGCGUGGAUAAGACAUGCAAGUCGUGCGAGGAACUGAAGAGCUUGCUUUGAAGUUCCUAGCGGCGGACGGGUGAGUAACACGUGAGCACCUGCCCUGAAGAGGGGGAUAGCCCGGGUGAAACCCCGGAUUAAUACCCCAUGACAUCUUCGGAUCAAAGGCGGCCUUUGGCUGUCGCUUUGGGAUGGGCUCGCGGCCUAUUAGCUUGUUGGUGGGGUAACGGCCCACCAAGGCGAUGACGGGUAACUGGUCUGAGAGGACGAUCAGUCACACUGGAACUGAGACACGGUCCAGACACCUACGGGUGGCAGCAGUCGAGAAUCAUUCACAAUGGGCGCAAGCCUGAUGGUGUGACGUCGCGUGGAGGAUGAAGAUCCUAGGACUGUAAACUCCUGUUAUCAGAGAGUAAGACAUGUGUAUUAAUAGUGCGCAUGUUUGAUAGUAUCUGAAGAGGAAGGGACGGCUAACUUCGUGCCAGCAGCCGCGGUAAUACGAAGGUCCCAAGCGUUGUUCGGAAUCACUGGGCGUAAAGGGAGCGUAGGCGGUUCGGUAAGUCGGGUGUGAAAGGCGGGGGCUCAACCUCCGGACUGCAUCUGAUACUGCCGUGACUAGAGUAGUGGAGGGGAAACUGGAAUUCUCGGUGUAGCAGUGAAAUGCGUGGAUAUCGAGAGGAAGACUCGUGGCGAAAGCGAGUUUCUGGACACUUACUGACGCUGAGGCUCGAAGGCCGGGGGAGCGAAAGGGAUUAGAUACCCCUGUAGUCCCGGCAGUAAACGGUGCGCGCUUGGUGUGGGAGGAUUCGANCCCUUCCGUGCCGGAGCUAACGCGUUAAGCGCGCCGNCUGGGGAGUACGGUCGCAAGACUAAAACUCAAAGAAAUUGACCGGGAACCGCACAAGCGGUGGAGUAUGUGGAUUAAUUCGAUGCAACGCGAAGAACCUUACCUGGGCUUGACAUGCCGUCAUAGUCUGUGAAAGCAGAUGUCAGUUCGGCUGGACGUGCACAGGUGCUGCAUGGCCGUCGUCAGCUCGUGUCGUGAGAUGUUUGGUUAAGUCCAGCAACGAGCGCAACCCCUGCGUCUAGUUACCAGCACAUAAUGGUGGGGACUUUAGACGGACUGCCCAGAUCAANCUGGGAGGAAGGUGGGGACGACGUCAGGUCAGUAUGGCCCUUAUGCCCAGGGCUGCACACGUACUACAAUGCCCGGUACAAUGAGAACCGAAACCGCGAGGUGGAGGAAAUCUACAAAACCGGGCUCAGUUCGGAUUGGAGGCUGCAACCCGCCUCCAUGAAGUUGGAAUCGCUAGUAAUGGCACAUCAGCAACGGUGCCGUGAUACGUUCCCGGGUCUUGUACACACCGCCCGUCACAUCAUGAAGCCGUCGCACCCGAAGUAUUUCCAAUAAGGAAGUCCUAAGGUGUAGCUGGUAACUGGGAUGAAGU